CCUACGGGGGGCAGCAGUGGGGAAUAUUGGACAAUGGGGGGAACCCUGAUCCAGCCAUGCCGCGUGUGUGAAGAAGGCCCUCGGGUUGUAAAGCACUUUCAGUGAGGAAGAACGCCUGGUGGUUAAUACCCAUCAGGAAAGACAUCACUCACAGAAGAAGCACCGGCUAACUCCGUGCCAGCAGCCGCGGUAAUACGGAGGGUGCGAGCGUUAAUCGGAAUUACUGGGCGUAAAGCGCGCGUAGGUGGCUUGAUAAGCCGGUUGUGAAAGCCCCGGGCUCAACCUGGGAACGGCAUCCGGAACUGUCAAGCUAGAGUGCAGGAGAGGAAGGUAGAAUUCCCGGUGUAGCGGUGAAAUGCGUAGAGAUCGGGAGGAAUACCAGUGGCGAAGGCGGCAUUCUGGACUGACACUGACACUGAGGUGCGAAAGCGUGGGUAGCAAACAGGAUUAGAUACCCUAGUAGUC
Molecule: ribosomal RNA, 465 nt
Filed under: Vreelandella stevensii
Lineage: Bacteria; Pseudomonadati; Pseudomonadota; Gammaproteobacteria; Oceanospirillales; Halomonadaceae
Description: partial 16S ribosomal RNA
Rfam family: Bacterial small subunit ribosomal RNA
Source: RNAcentral